This 610-nucleotide ribosomal RNA is filed under the name uncultured bacterium. RNAcentral describes it as "bacterial SSU rRNA". It matches the Rfam family "Bacterial small subunit ribosomal RNA", at positions 338 to 951 of the family's 1533-position model. The record is from RNAcentral.
CCUACGGGAGGCAGCAGUAAGGAAUAUUGGGCAAUGGAGGCAACUCUGACCCAGCCAUGCCGCGUGAAGGAUGAAGGCCCUAUGGGUUGUAAACUUCUUUUGUACGGGAAUAAACCUGGUUACGUGUAACCAGUUGAAUGUACCGUAAGAAUAAGCACCGGCUAACUCCGUGCCAGCAGCCGCGGUAAUACGGAGGGUGCAAGCGUUAUCCGGAUUUAUUGGGUUUAAAGGGAGCGUAGGCGGGAUUGUAAGUCAGUGGUGAAAGCCCGUAGCUCAACUACGGAACUGCCAUUGAUACUGCAGACCUAGAGUACACUUGAAGUGGGCGGAAUGUGUCAUGUAGCGGUGAAAUGCUUAGAUAUGACACAGAACACCAAUUGCGAAGGCAGCUCACUAAAUUGUAACUGACGCUGAGGCUCGAUAGCGUGGGGAUCAAACAGGAUUAGAUACCCUGGUAGUCCACGCCGUAAACGAUGAUUACUCGAUGUUGGCGAUACACUGUCAGCGUCUGAGCGAAAGCAUUAAGUAAUCCACCUGGGGAGUACGGUCGCAGACUGAACUCAAGGAAUUGACGGCGUGAGACUUACCCAAGGCACACAGGGGAUUAGGG